UCUCCGUUGGUGAACCAGCGGAGGGAUCAUUACAGAGUGCAAACUCAUAACCCUUUGUGAACCUAUAUCUGUUGCUUCGGCGGCUCGCUCUCGGGCGAGCCCGCCGGUAAUAUCAGUGUCUCUGUUUGAACCCGACGAUACUUCUGAGUGUUCUUAGCGAACAGUUAAAACUUUUAACAACGGAUCUCUUGGCUCUA
RNAcentral lists this unclassified non-coding RNA (197 nucleotides) under plant metagenome. RNAcentral describes it as "partial contains small subunit ribosomal RNA, internal transcribed spacer 1, and 5.8S ribosomal RNA". The record is from RNAcentral.